UUGAGCCUACGGGACGCAGCAGUGAGGAAUAUUGGUCAAUGGGCGCAAGCCUGAACCAGCCAAGUCGCGUGAGGGAUGACGGUCCUAUGGAUUGUAAACCUCUUUUGUCGGGGAGCAAGGCCCGCCACGUGUGGCGGGAAGGAGAGUACCCGAAGAAAAAGCAUCGGCUAACUCCGUGCCAGCAGCCGCGGUAAUACGGAGGAUGCGAGCGUUAUCCGGGUUUAUUGGGUUUAAAGGGUGCGUAGGCGGAAGGGUAAGUCAGCGGUCAAAUGUCGGUGCUCAACACCGGCCUGCCGUUGGAACUG
This 305-nucleotide ribosomal RNA is filed under the name uncultured bacterium. RNAcentral's name for it is "bacterial SSU rRNA". It matches the Rfam family "Bacterial small subunit ribosomal RNA", at positions 332 to 635 of the family's 1533-position model. The record is from RNAcentral.